This 147-nucleotide unclassified non-coding RNA is filed under the name soil metagenome. Its description in RNAcentral is "partial internal transcribed spacer 1". The record is from RNAcentral.
CAAUGAAGUGUUCAAUGGCACUUUAAAUCCAUUACCCACCUUGUGUGCAUUGUCAGGAGGAAGAUCCCUUGGGAUUUUUCUCUUUUUCAUUCCACUCUUUUUUUUUAACAUCAGUCUACAUCAAUUGAGAAUUAAAAAUCUCUAAUA